CGGACGUGGGGAACCUGCCCUGUACAGGGGGAUAACAGCUGGAAACAGCUGCUAAUACCGCAUAAUGCAGUUGGGGUCGCAUGGCUCUGACUGCCAAAGAUUUAUCGCUCUGGGAUGGACUCGCGUCUGAUUAGCUAGUUGGUGGGGCAACGGCCCACCAAGGCGACGAUCAGUAGCCGGACUGAGAGGUUGGCCGGCCACAUUGGGACUGAGACACGGCCCAGACUCCUACGGAAGGCAGCAG
Molecule: ribosomal RNA, 244 nt
Filed under: uncultured bacterium
Lineage: Bacteria
Description: partial 16S ribosomal RNA
Rfam family: Bacterial small subunit ribosomal RNA
Source: RNAcentral